Non-coding RNA from Amylocystis lapponica, 87 nucleotides. The record is from the annotation of a GenBank genome assembly. Lineage: Eukaryota; Fungi; Basidiomycota; Agaricomycetes; Polyporales; Postiaceae.
GGACCUGUGGCGCAGCGGUAGCGCGUGUGAUUCCAGCCAUUUAUGGGCACGUCCACAAGGUCAUCCGUUCAAACCGGGUCAGGUUCA